RNAcentral lists this ribosomal RNA (506 nucleotides) under uncultured bacterium. Its description in RNAcentral is "bacterial SSU rRNA". It matches the Rfam family "Bacterial small subunit ribosomal RNA", at positions 29 to 526 of the family's 1533-position model. The record is from RNAcentral.
AACGAACGCUGGCGGCGUGUUUAAGACAUGCAAGUCGCACGGUAUCAUUGAAGUAGUAAUAUUUUAAUGGUUCAGUGGCGCACGGGUGAGUAACACGUGAAUUACAUGCCCUAUAUAGGGGGAUAGCCCAGGGAAACUUGGAUUAAUACCCCAUAGUCCCGCAAGAGUACAGGUGGCCGCAAGGCUGUCGCUAUAGGAUUGCUUCGCGCCCUAUCAGCUCGUUGGUGAGGUAACGGCUCACCAAGGCUACGACGGGUACCUGGUUUGAGAGGACGAUCAGGCACACUGGAACUGAGACACGGUCCAGACACCUACGGGUGGCAGCAGUCGAGAAUAAUUCACAAUGGGGGCAACCCUGAUGGUGCAGCGCCGCGUGGAGGAUGACGGUCUUCGGAUUGUAAACUCCUGUCAUCUGGGAGUAAGACCUGGGCAUUAAUAGUGCACAGGGUUGAUAGUACCAGAAGAGGAAGGGACGGCUAACUUCGUGCCAGCAGCCGCAGUAAGAC